GCGCCCGUGGCGAAAUUGGUAGACGCAUGAGACUUAAAAUCUCCCGCCUUCGCAGGCAUGCCGGUUCGAUUCCGGCCGGGCGCACCA
Molecule: transfer RNA, 87 nt
Filed under: Nevskia sp.
Lineage: Bacteria; Pseudomonadati; Pseudomonadota; Gammaproteobacteria; Nevskiales; Nevskiaceae
Description: tRNA-Leu
Rfam family: tRNA
About the family: Transfer RNA (tRNA) molecules are approximately 80 nucleotides in length. Their secondary structure includes four short double-helical elements and three loops (D, anti-codon, and T loops). Further hydrogen bonds mediate the characteristic L-shaped molecular structure. tRNAs have two regions of fundamental functional importance: the anti-codon, which is responsible for specific mRNA codon recognition, and the 3' end, to which the tRNAs corresponding amino acid is attached (by aminoacyl-tRNA synthetases). tRNAs cope with the degeneracy of the genetic code in two manners: having more than one tRNA (with a specific anti-codon) for a particular amino acid; and 'wobble' base-pairing, i.e. permitting non-standard base-pairing at the 3rd anti-codon position.
Source: RNAcentral